CCUACGGGUGGCAGCAGUAGGGAAUCUUCCGCAAUGGACGAAAGUCUGACGGAGCAACGCCGCGUGAGUGAAGAAGGUUUUCGGAUCGUAAAACUCUGUUGUCAGAGAAGAACAAGUUGGAGAGUAACUGCUCCAGCCUUGACGGUAUCUGACCAGAAAGCCACGGCUAACUACGUGCCAGCAGCCGCGGUAAUACGUAGGUGGCAAGCGUUGUCCGGAUUUAUUGGGCGUAGUGCGAUAAGAGGCGGGUGAAAGCCCACGGCUCAACCGUGGAAGGUCAUUGGAAACUGGGGAACUUGAGUGCAGAAGAGGAGAGUGGAAUUCCAUGUGUAGCGGUGAAAUGCGUAGAUAUAUGGAGGAACACCAGUGGCGAAGGCGACUCUCUGGUCUGUAACUGACGCUGAGGCUCGAAAGCGUGGGGAGCAAACAGGAUUAGAUACCCCGGUAGUC
This 450-nucleotide ribosomal RNA is filed under the name uncultured bacterium. RNAcentral describes it as "partial 16S ribosomal RNA". It matches the Rfam family "Bacterial small subunit ribosomal RNA", at positions 338 to 795 of the family's 1533-position model. The record is from RNAcentral.